RNAcentral lists this ribosomal RNA (462 nucleotides) under uncultured bacterium. RNAcentral describes it as "partial 16S ribosomal RNA". It matches the Rfam family "Bacterial small subunit ribosomal RNA", at positions 28 to 507 of the family's 1533-position model. The record is from RNAcentral.
GACGAACGCUGGCGGCGUGCUUAACACAUGCAAGUCGAGCGGAAAGGCCCUUCGGGGUACUCGAUCGGCGAACGGGUGCGUAACACGUGAUUAACCUGCCCCAGACUUUGGGAUAACCCUCGGAAACGGGGGCUAAUACCGGAUACGACACAGCUUCGCAUUUGGUCUUUGUGGAAAGUUUUUCGGUUUGGGAUGGGCUCGCGGCCUAUCAGCUUGUUGGUGGGGUGAUGGCCUACCAAGGCGCCGACGGGUAGCCGGCCUGAGAGGGCGACCGGCCACACUGCGACUGAGACACGGCCCAGACUCCUACGGGAGGCAGAAGUGGGGAAUAUUGCACGAUGGGCGGAAGCCUGAUGCAGCGACGCCGCGUGAGGGAUGACGGCCUUCGGGUUGUAAACCUCUUUCAGCAGGGACGAAGCGUAAGUGACGGUACCUGCAGAAGAAGCGCCGGCCAACUACGUG